RNAcentral lists this ribosomal RNA (440 nucleotides) under uncultured bacterium. Its description in RNAcentral is "partial 16S ribosomal RNA". It matches the Rfam family "Bacterial small subunit ribosomal RNA", at positions 338 to 795 of the family's 1533-position model. The record is from RNAcentral.
CCUACGUGUGGCAGCAGUGGGGAAUAUUGCACAAUGGGCGAAACCCUGAUGCAGCGACGCCGCGUGAGUGAAGAAGUAAUUCGUUAUGUAAAGCUCUAUCAGCAGGGAAGAAAAUGACGGUACCUGAGUAAUAAGCCCCGGGUAACUACGGGCCAGCAGCCGCGGUCAUACGUAGGGGGCAGGCGUUAUCCGGUUUUACUGGGUGUAAAGGGAGCGUAGACGGCAGUGCAAGUCUGGAGUGAAAGGCGGGGGCCCAAACCCCGGACUGCUCUGGAAACUGGACGGCUGGAGUGCGGGAGAGGUAAGUGGAAUUCCUGGUGUAGCGGUGAAAUGCGUAGAUAGUAGGAGGAACACCGAGGGCGAAGGCGGCUUACUGGCCUGUAACGGACGUUGAGGCUCGAAAGCGUGGGGAGCAAACAGGAUUAGAUACCCCUGUAGUC